CCUACGGGGGGCAGCAGUGAGGAAUAUUGGUCAAUGGGCGCAAGCCUGAACCAGCCAAGUCGCGUGAGGGAUGACGGUCCUAUGGAUUGUAAACCUCUUUUGUCGGGGAGCAAGGCCCGCCACGUGUGGCGGGAAGGAGAGUACCCGAAGAAAAAGCAUCGGCUAACUCCGUGCCAGCAGCCGCGGUAAUACGGAGGAUGCGAGCGUUAUCCGGAUUUAUUGGGUUUAAAGGGUGCGUAGGCGGAAGGUUAAGUCAGCGGUCAAAUGUCGGUGCUCAACACCGGCCUGCCGUUGAAACUGGUCGUCUUGAGUGAGCGAGAAGUAUGCGGAAUGCGUGGUGUAGCGGUGAAAUGCAUAGAUAUCACGCAGAACCCCGGUUGCGAAGGCAGCAUACCGGCGCUCAACUGACGCUGAGGCACGAAAGCGUGGGGAUCGAACAGGAUUAGAUACCCUAGUAGUC
RNAcentral lists this ribosomal RNA (460 nucleotides) under uncultured bacterium. RNAcentral's name for it is "partial 16S ribosomal RNA". It matches the Rfam family "Bacterial small subunit ribosomal RNA", at positions 338 to 795 of the family's 1533-position model. The record is from RNAcentral.